This 1288-nucleotide unclassified non-coding RNA is filed under the name Pectinophora gossypiella (pink bollworm). RNAcentral's name for it is "uncharacterized LOC126381719". The record is from RNAcentral. Lineage: Eukaryota; Metazoa; Arthropoda; Insecta; Lepidoptera; Gelechiidae.
ACUGAGUAAUUGCUUUGCUUAUUGCAUGCUAAUUGCUGAAAAUUGCUUUUUAUUUUAAAUUCCUUAGCUAAAAAUUGCUUUUUCUUUCACAUUUCUCUGCUUAUUGAAUGACUAUUGCUAACUCAUUAGAUAGAACCUACUUCUCAUAUAAGUAGGUGGAUGCGGCCUCGAUUAGCGGGGGAACCACAUGAAAAAAAGCGAGCUACUGGGUGUACCUCCUGGGUAGUUUGGAAAUCACCUAAUAUAUAUAUGUAUAUAUUUAUAAAUAAAAGUUAAUAUAUAUAAAUUAACAUUAUUUUUUUUUAACAGGAAAUGCACAAUGCUAAAAACUGCGUAGGAGAUUUUAAUACAAUAGUACUACCAAGCCUGAUGUUGGCCGCUAUUUCAAUGAAUGCAGCAGUGUGACAGCUAGCAAUCAAAAGUAACAAGAUAUCGAGGAAAUGCAGAUGGCAAUAAACUGUGUAGGAGUUCAUGAUUGCAAUAGAAUAAAAUCGACCAAGCCUGAAGUCAGCAGCCCCUUCAAUGAAUGCAGCAGUGUGACAGCCAGCAAUCAAAAGUUACAAGAUAUCGAGGAAAUGCAGAUGGCAAUAAACUGUGUAGGAGUUCAUGAUUGCAAUAGAAUAAAAUCGACCAAGCCUGAAGUCAGCAGCCCCUUCAAUGAAUGCAGCAGUGUGACAGCCAACAAUCAAAAGUUACAAAAUAUCGAGGAAAUGCAGAAGGCAAAAAACUGCGUAGGAGAUCAUUAAUACAAAAGUAUUAUAUAAACCAAACCUGAUGUUGCCAGCUCCUUUAAUGAAUGCAGCAGUGUGACAGCCAGCAAUCAAAAGUAACAAGAUAUCGAGGAAAUGCAGAAGGCAAAAAACUGCGUAGGAGAUCAUUAAUACAAUAGUAUUAUAUAAACCAAGCCUGAUGUUGGCCGCUCAUUCAAAGAAUGCAGCAGUGUGACAGCCAGCAAUCAAAAGUAACAAGAUGUCGAGGAAAUGCAGAGUGCAAUAAACUGUGUAGGAGAUUAUGAUUGCAAUAGAAUAAAAUCGACCAAGCCUGAAGUCCUUCAAUGCACGCAGCAGUGUGACAGCCAGCAAUCAAAAGUUACAAGAUAUCGAGGAAAUGCAGAAGGCAAAAAACUGCGUAGGAGAUUAUUAAUACAAUAUUAAUACAAUAGUAUUAUAUCAACCAAGCCUGAUGUCGGUAGCUUCUUCAAUGAAUGCAGCAGUGUGACAGCCAGCAAUCAAUAGUGACAAGAAUCUAGGAAAUACAGAAGACAAAGAAGCAGAUGUCAUCAAAAAAG